RNAcentral lists this ribosomal RNA (253 nucleotides) under uncultured bacterium. Its description in RNAcentral is "partial 16S ribosomal RNA". It matches the Rfam family "Bacterial small subunit ribosomal RNA", at positions 524 to 776 of the family's 1533-position model. The record is from RNAcentral.
UACGGGGGAGCAAGCGUUGUUCGGAUUUACUGGGCGUAAAGGGCGCGUAGGCGGUCAGCACAAGUCAGUUGUGAAAUCUCCGGGCUUAACCCGGAAAGGUCAACUGAUACUGUGCGACUAGAGUGCGGAAGGGGCAACUGGAAUUCUCGGUGUAGCGGUGAAAUGCGUAGAUAUCGAGAGGAACACCUGCGGCGAAGGCGGGUUGCUGGGCCGACACUGACGCUGAUGCGCGAAAGCCAGGGGAGCGAACGGG